RNAcentral lists this ribosomal RNA (807 nucleotides) under uncultured archaeon. Its description in RNAcentral is "bacterial SSU rRNA". It matches the Rfam family "Archaeal small subunit ribosomal RNA", at positions 85 to 875 of the family's 1478-position model. The record is from RNAcentral.
ACGGCUCAGUAACACGUGGCUAACCUACCCUUAGGACGGAGACACCCCCGGGAAACUGGGGCUAAUACCCGAUAGGUGAGGAGGCCUAGAAUGGUUCUUCGCUGAAAAGGCGUUGAAACCAUGCUUUUCAACGUCGCCUAAGGAUGGGGCCGCGCCCGAUCAGGUUGUUGGUGAGGUAACGGCUCACCAAGCCUAUAACCGGUACGGGCCGUGAGAGCGGGAGCCCGGAGAUGGGCACUGAGACAAGGGCCCAGGCCCUACGGGGCGCAGCAGUCGCGAAAACUCCGCAAUGCGCGAAAGCGUGACGGAGCUACCCCGAGUGCCGUCCGCUGAGGAUGGCUUUUCCCCGGUGUAAUGAGCCGGGGGAAUAAGGAGAGGGCAAGACUGGUGUCAGCCGCCGCGGUAAUACCAGCUCUCCGAGUAGUAGGGACGAUUAUUGGGCUUAAAGCGUCCGUAGCCGGCUUAGCAAGUCUCCUGUUAAAUUCAGCGACCUAAUCGUUGAGCCGCGGGAGAUACUACUAGGCUAGGAGGCGGGAGAGGCCGACGGUAUUCCCGGGGUAGGGGUGAAAUCCUAUAAUCCCGGGAGGACCACCAGUGGCGAAGGCUGUCGGCUAGAACGCGCUCGACGGUGAGGGACGAAAGCUGGGGGAGCGAACCGGAUUAGAUACCCGGGUAGUCCCAGCUGUAAACGAUGCGGGCUAGGUGUUGAGGUGGCUACGAGCCACUUCAGUGCCGCAGGGAAGCCAUUAAGCCCGCCGCCUGGGGAGUACGGCCGCAAGGCUGAAACUUAAAGGAAUUGGCGGGGGG